Non-coding RNA from Myotis lucifugus (little brown bat), 75 nucleotides. NCBI's taxonomy places the organism in Eukaryota, Metazoa, Chordata, Mammalia, Chiroptera, Vespertilionidae. The record is from Rfam.
GGCAGUUCUCAGGUGAUGCACUCCAGAAUCGGGCUCCCUUCUCUCUGGUUCUGGGUGCAUCAGCCUAGAACUGCA